Molecule: long non-coding RNA, 6108 nt
Organism: Amphiprion ocellaris (clown anemonefish)
Lineage: Eukaryota; Metazoa; Chordata; Actinopteri; Pomacentridae
Source: Ensembl
GCAUAAAUGAAAGUGAAAGUAUGAGAGAGAAACUAGGGCGAGGUGUUUGUGCCGAGCAGCAGACAAAAAGGGAGUUCUUUCUUUUCCACAUAUUCUUCAAGGAAAACCCUGUUCUGUAACUCAGAAGCAAUAAAAAGCCUACAGGAAGUAAAGUUCCUUGUUUCCUGGCUUCUUUAACUUCCUGUCAGCGUCAUGCCAGACCCUAAGCGCUGUCUGGAAGCUCUCUCAGCUCUCUCUGGCUGUAAUGUCGAGGCGACUACCGGAGCCUCCCAGCUCAGCCCUCAGGACGUGGUCAACAUCGUGGCCCUGAAGGAGUUUUACAGGCAGAAGGGCUUCAGAGAGCUGGAAUACCAUGUGGAGAGCUUAGGGACUUUAUCCCUGCAGGACGUGGACGACAUGGACAUGUACAGUUCCCCCCUAGCGCUGACACCGGCCCCCGAAGAGAGCCUCAAAACCACAGUGAAGAUAAACCUCCAGGACUUCUUCCAUCCACAGUUCGACUAUGACUUCACCAAGAUAAAGGAUGGCGACAGGAAGUUCCUGCGAGGUAAUGAGCAGUACGUUCGUCCCUGCGGGUGGAACCGGGUCGCCCUGCGCGUUGUCCAGAAGUACGACGACGGAGACAGCUGGCUGAGGACGGGGAAGGACGCCUGGCCCGUCUCCUACCACGGAAACAGCAUGGAUGGCUCCCUGGGCAUCAUCCUGACUCAUGAAGGGAACCCCAAAGAUGAACCGGAUUUUCUGGAUGCAGCGGCCGCCUCUGUGGUCGCCGAGGACACCCGGGGCCGGGGCGUCUACUCCACACCAGACAUCCAGAUGGCAGAGAAGCACUGCAAGAAGUUCAAGUCCAAAGUGGACGGGAAGACAUACAAAGUGGUUCUUCAGAACCGCAUCAACCCGGACAAAAGGGUGAAGUGUCAGAGAGAAGACGUGUGGUUGGUGUAUGUCCCCGAAGGACACAACGACAUCCAGACGAGGGCCAUCGUCCAGGAGUCCAUCCGUCCGUACGGCCUGCUGCUGAAGGAGGCGUGAACCAGGACACGUAUGAACCCACAGAUUCAGCAAAUUCAGCCUGACGUCUUCUUAUUAACAUAAAAAAAAAUCACGAAAAUUAAUUCACGGUUCUGUAAAGACCUUUUCAAAAAUGAUGUAGUGAAUUUACAGCUUUCAUGGUUUAAUGGUGCUUUCCUAGUGACCUCAUCACACUCUACUGAUGUAUAAUGGCCUUGAUUUAACUCGGAGGUUGGAAAUUUCUCAAUCUGAAUUUGAAUUCUGAGCCCAAAGAGUUCCACGACUCCGUAAACGUAAACGUAAACACUCAACGUUAUAGAAACAGUGGAGGACAAGAUAUGGAUGUAAGCAGUGGUGGAUGAAGUAUUCAGAGUCUUUACUUCAGUAAAAGUACAAAUACAGCAAAGAAAAACCAUCUCUGUUACAAGUUAAAGUACAGAGCAGCAAAAUGUAGUUCAUUAAUAGUGAAGUAUCCAUCUGUCAGCUGCACAUUGCUUUUGUUCCAGAGAGAUAGAUAGACUAUAGAUAGACUAUAGAUAGAUAGACUAUAGAUAGAUAGAUAGUUAAUCCAGAGGGAAAUUCCUGGUUUGAACCACUUUAAAUCCAGUUUUAAAGACAAGAGCAACAGAUAAAUCUGAGGGCUCCAAACACAUUCAUAGGAAAGAGAAAAAAACAACAAAUAAAAUAAAUGGAGCAGAAAGUCUGAUAGUUAAUUUACAAUGUGGUGCAGUCGAAGCAGAAAGGGCAGAAAAUGGAAAUGUACGAGUACGUCAACAGCUGGACUUUCGUACAGUACUUGAGUAAAUGUACUUAGUUACUUUCCACCACUGGAUAAAAGGUUGUCAGAUUUCCCAGUGGGAGCUCUGAAUUCAAGAGAAAUUUUUGAUUUCCAGGUUGCUUGAAAAGCAGCAUUUUCAGGGAAUUUCUGCUGCUAUAUGUUAAGUUCAGUGUUAAGAAGCUCUGCACAGAUUAAUGUACCUGAAGGACUCAGAGGUUGGUGAUUUAUGGAUGUGAUGAUGGAAAAACAAAGUUAGGAUGAAACUAAACAGGACAGGUUGAUUCAUGUCUACUGAUAUUUACUGAUACUACCUAACUUUUAUUCCUUACUGCUCAUAACUGAACUGUCCUGAUGAACACUGAUUGAACUCUGGUGGUUUUAUUAUUCUAACAGUUCAUAUUUGAGAUAAUGGUGAUCUGGAUUAAAAUUCUGCUGAGUCAUGAUGCCGUUCAGCCUCACUGCUCAGAAUUCAUUUUAAUUGUCCGUAAUAUUAAAUCAUUCUCUAAUAUACUCUAUGAUUUAUCUUCUGCAGUCCAUCCAGCUAACAGGACUACAGAUAAUCAGUUUCUCCUGUUUUCUGUUUGAAUGUGUGUCCAACAUCUGUAUGGAAUUAAAUGGAGAACAGAUCCUGGUUUAUUGGUAAUCUAUAAUCUGAUAGUAAAUAUUCCUCAUAACUUCUUAAUUGUUACAGAAAUAAGCAUCUUGAUUCCAAGCUGCAUGUUAACACUAUAAAACAUAAAACAUGGCAGAUUGUACUGUUAGUACAGUUUCAUACUGGGAAUUAUUAGCAAUAUAAAUUCUAAACUCUUUACAAAUCAAGGAAGUUUUAAAUCUAUUUCUGUUGGUUAACUCGUCCUUUUAAUGCAUUUACUAUCCUGAAAGCAAACAUCCUUUCGGAGGUCACUGAUGAUUAUUUCAUUUUAUUUUCACUUUCUUUAAAGACCAGAAUUCCAGAGCCAGAAAAAACAGUUUUCGUACGAGUCAGUAUUAAACUAUACGAGCAGGUUUACAAACCCACAACUACAGAAACUUAAUAUUCCUGUUAAUGUUGUAAAUUUCAUUUGGUUAUUUAUGUAGGAUUUAUAGUAGAGUAUAAUUACCAUAGUGCAAAAACAACAGUAAAAGUCACGCAUUCAUUAUUUUACUUUAGUAGAAGGAUGCACAUAUUAGCAUUAAAUAGACCCAAAAUACUAAAAUUAAAAUUUUUUUCAGGCAAAAUGUCCAGUUAACAAGAAAAUCUUCAAUGAUGGAGCUUAAUGUUGGUCGCUUACUUUAUGAAAUGGCAGCAUGAGUUAUAAUCUGAUUUUAUUUGCAUUAAUAAUUAGAAUCUGCAUUAGAAAACUGCAACUCCUGACAAAACAAAUAACUAAAUAAAUUUAGGAAGAUCAGGUAACUUAUAAGAGUGUUGACUCAAAGUUAGUGUUUAAAAAUGAUAAAAUAGGAUUAUGAAAUUAUGUCCGUUAAAAACUUAUUGCAAUACAAGCUUAAUUAAUGCUGAACUUGAGGUUCUGAUUAGUUCAGAGGUGAAUGUGACAGAUCCAGUAGUUCACCAAUAGGGGGCAGUACAGACACAGAAAUAGAUGUGAUACUGAUCAGUGGUGAACCGAUUGUGGAACAAAGAUAUUAUACAGAUAUUACAGUCUAUGGUGGUAGAAGAGGAACUCUUAAAUCUUCUGAAUACUUGAUUAAAAGCUGAAGUUUUACAGACAGACGUUCAACUAAUAAUAAAUACAGAAUAUAAUAUUUCUCCACCAGCAUUGAGUUUGACUGAUGUCAGUCCUGAGCUGCUGUUCUGGACUAAAGCACAUCACAGUGAACAAAGAUGAAUCCAGCUACACACCUGAGCACAGGUAGAAUCCAACCAUGCUGAUGAAGCAGAAGGUGAAUAAACCUGGAAGAAGGCAGAUCCCCGGACUCCAGCAUGGCAGCUUUACUCUGCUGGACCCAUCGGCUCCUGAAAACAGAAAUAACAGCACUUCAUUACUAAUCAGUUGAUAUUUUCACAUUUUACACUCCUGUUGAAGUCUCCAUGUUUGUUUUUAAGGUGUAUAGAACCCAUCUCUACCCAGAUGUGGUCUGCUGCUAACAAACAGACUUUAUUAAAUCUUUCAUUUGGAUUUUCCUGUGAGUUACAGACGACUAAAACUAAAGUUAAACAUUUAGCAUCAGGAUGUUUUCAGGCACCUGAAACCUUAACUAGCUGUGAAACGUAGAAAUAAAAUACAGCAGCUAAAAUAACACGCCCAGAUAAGAAAAUAACUCUUUCUUCCCUGGAUGCUAUCAAUAAAAAUUAGAUUCAAAACCUCAUUUACUGACUUGGAACAGAUAGCAGGUAAAGAUAUUAAAUUAUUUUCCCUUUGGUAAUAUUUUCAGGCUAACCCCAAUUAUCUCCCAGUCACAACCAAAAUUAAUUAAAGUUAAAUAAAAAAACAUAAAUGAAGAUGUUCUGUUUUCUGUUAGUAUCCUAGAAUAAACUUGUAUUACCUUCUGUUUGGUUUCAGUAAAACAUGACAUCAUUAGCAUCAUGUAGCAUUAGCAAUGAACCGAUAAACUUACAUGCUGAAGCCAACGGCUAUCUGUAUUAAAAAGAGUAAGAUUUUAUGUUUAGUUUCAUUUAACAGAUUCAGAGGUUUCAGAAACACAAUUUUGGCUAAUGGGAGUUUUCUAACAAAAUAAUAAUUACUUCAUGAGGAUUCAACCAAAUAAAGAAGCUUUAAAAGACCUCCUGUUUUUCAGGUAACGUCUCUUUUCAGUUGUUUUCUUUUUGUCUUUUAUUAGAACUACAACCAGCUCCUAGCUUUCUAUCCAUUAUAAAGAUAAAUCAGUAUCUAUUGAUGUCCUGCACAGCAGCCAACAUGUGAGGAUCUGGUUGCUGUUUUUAUCAAGAUAAAAUCAUUAUUUUAAUGUCUGCAUUUUGAUACCUGUUGGAAGAUGUUAAAAUUCAUGUUUGUAAAAUUAGAGCAAAAAGGUGUUCAGUUUGUGGUCAGUUCAGUAAAAACUCAUUGAAACUGGACCCAACUAAAAAAACACAACUAGAACUAUAUUUCCUCCCAACCUGACAUGUUUGGUUUCAGUUUAGAAUAAAACCACGACUAAAACCUCAUUGUUCCACCAAAUGUCACCAUGACUGUUUUUUUAAAAGCUAGACAUGAAACUAGUUCACUUUAACCUCAUAAACUAUAAUGCACACAUCCCUGUGUAUAUCUUUGUAAAAAUUACUGCUUUAUUCAAACAACAUAGACCUUAUUCUUCUCUGUCCUGUUCAGAUCCUGACGUUUCUAAAGAUACCAGAUAUUUGUGUUUUCAUGAGUUUUGGGUAAAUGUUCAGCAUGCUGCACUAAACACCUGGAAAUGUUCAGAUUUUUAUAUUUAAUUUCAGCUGCUGGGGUUCAGAAACCCGGACUAACUGGGUGUGACUUUAUCUCAGUAUCGACAGCAUUUCGCUUCAGUAACGGCUGGAUAAUGUCAAAUUCAGAGUAGAAGUUUUAAUGCUUAUGGAAAAUCUGAGUGGGGAAACACCUCAACAGUUAGUUCUGAUUUCAUCUACAUUUUCCACAAACAUCAUAGAUUGAAUGUAAUAUGUGAAGAACUGCUCACUAAAAGGUAGUUUUUAUUUUUGCUGCUGAGUUUCUGCAUCAGUGCCAUUCAAUUUACAUGAAUUUAUAUGUGAAAAUUUAAAACAUUUUAUUAAAAAAACAGCGCAUUAGAAACAAAAGCUGCCACACAGACACAAGUUAUGACAGGUAUGAUGUGUGACAUGUAUGAUGUGUGACAUGUAUGAUGUGUGACAUGUAUGAUGUGUGACAGGUAUGACGUGUGACAUGUAUGAUGUGUGAUAGGUAUGACGUGUGACAUGUAUGAUGUGUGACAGGUAUGAUGUGUGACAUGUAUGAUGUGUGACAGGUAUGACGUGUGACAUGUAUGAUGUGUGACAGGUAUGAUGUGUGACAUGUAUGACAGUAGCUAAUAAUGUCAUGAGUAUAAUCAUGGACCACUAACGAGGACACGACACUAUAGAGUGGAUAGAAAAUCUAUUUUAUAAACUCUCUGCUCUGCAGUGACUCAGCCUGGUUCAUCUGGUUAACAUGUGCUGCAUUCAGUGUCCAUUAUCACUUUAUGUUAUUUAUGAUCAAUGCUUUGAAUGUGGAGGUCUAAUAAAGGACAUUUUCACUGAUUAAUUCCUGCAGGGUAGAGGCUCCUCAUCGAGUAAUUCUGAGCUUUCCCUCUUUCAAAGGGCUUCAGUAAUUCAUGCUGGUCUUUGUGUUGAAUGAGACAAAGUUAAACUGUUUAAGAUCUCUUUAGGUGCUUCAACUUUUCCU